UCAAACCUGAGAGUUUGAUCCUGGCUCAGAACGAACGCUGGCGGCAGGCUUAACACAUGCAAGUCGAACGCCCCGCAAGGGGAGUGGCAG
RNAcentral lists this ribosomal RNA (90 nucleotides) under Aureimonas jatrophae. RNAcentral's name for it is "16S rRNA. Bacterial SSU". It matches the Rfam family "Bacterial small subunit ribosomal RNA", at positions 1 to 101 of the family's 1533-position model. Lineage: Bacteria; Pseudomonadati; Pseudomonadota; Alphaproteobacteria; Hyphomicrobiales; Aurantimonadaceae. The record is from RNAcentral.